CAGCAGUCGCCGCGGGAAUACAGAGGGUGCGAGCGUUAAUCGGAUUUACUGGGCGUAAAGCGUGCGUAGGCGGCUUUUUAAGUCGGAUGUGAAAUCCCUGAGCUUAACUUAGGAAUUGCAUUCGAUACUGGGAAGCUAGAGUAUGGGAGAGGAUGGUAGAAUUCCAGGUGUAGCGGUGAAAUGCGUAGAGAUCUGGAGGAAUACCGAUGGCGAAGGCAGCCAUCUGGCCUAAUACUGACGCUGAGGUACGAAAGCAUGGGGAGCAAACAGGAUUAGAGACCCCUGUAGUCCCUGUCUCUUAUAC
Molecule: ribosomal RNA, 304 nt
Filed under: uncultured bacterium
Lineage: Bacteria
Description: partial 16S ribosomal RNA
Rfam family: Bacterial small subunit ribosomal RNA
Source: RNAcentral